Molecule: ribosomal RNA, 679 nt
Filed under: Pseudoxanthomonas sp.
Lineage: Bacteria; Pseudomonadati; Pseudomonadota; Gammaproteobacteria; Lysobacterales; Lysobacteraceae
Description: bacterial SSU rRNA
Rfam family: Bacterial small subunit ribosomal RNA
Source: RNAcentral
CAGUCGACGGCAGCACAGGAGAGCUUGCUCUCUGGGUGGCGAGUGGCGGACGGGUGAGGAAUACAUCGGAAUCUACCUUUUCGUGGGGGAUAACGUAGGGAAACUUACGCUAAUACCGCAUACGACCUACGGGUGAAAGUGGGGGACCGCAAGGCCUCACGCGAUUAGAUGAGCCGAUGUCCGAUUAGCUAGUUGGCGGGGUAAUGGCCCACCAAGGCGACGAUCGGUAGCUGGUCUGAGAGGAUGAUCAGCCACACUGGAACUGAGACACGGUCCAGACUCCUACGGGAGGCAGCAGUGGGGAAUAUUGGACAAUGGGCGCAAGCCUGAUCCAGCCAUACCGCGUGGGUGAAGAAGGCCUUCGGGUUGUAAAGCCCUUUUGUUGGGAAAGAAAUCCUAUCGGUUAAUAACCGGUGGGGAUGACGGUACCCAAAGAAUAAGCACCGGCUAACUUCGUGCCAGCAGCCGCGGUAAUACGAAGGGUGCAAGCGUUACUCGGAAUUACUGGGCGUAAAGCGUGCGUAGGUGGUGGUUUAAGUCUGCUGUGAAAGCCCUGGGCUCAACCUGGGAAUUGCAGUGGAUACUGGAUCACUAGAGUGUGGUAGAGGGAUGCGGAAUUUCUGGUGUAGCAGUGAAAUGCGUAGAGAUCAGAAGGAACAUCCGUGGCGAAGGCGGCAUC